AUUGAACGCUGGCGGCAGGCCUAACACAUGCAAGUCGAGCGGAUGAAGGGAGCUUGCUCCUGGAUUCAGCGGCGGACGGGUGAGUAAUGCCUAGGAAUUUGCCUGGUAGUGGGGGAUAACGUCCGGAAACGGGCGCUAAUACCCCAUACGUCCUGAGGGAGAAAGUGGGGGAUUUUCGGACCUCACGCUAUCAGAUGAGCCUAGGUCGGAUUAGCUAGUUGGUGGGGUAAAGGCCUACCAAGGCGACGAUCCGUAACUGGUCUGAGAGGAUGAUCAGUCACACUGGAACUGAGACACGGUCCAGACUCCUACGGGAGGCAGCAGUGGGGAAUAUUGGACAAUGGGCGAAAGCCUGAUCCAGCCAUGCCGCGUGUGUGAAGAAGGUCUUCGGAUUGUAAAGCACUUUAAGUUGGGAGGAAGGGCAGUAAGUUAAUACCUUGCUGUUUUGACGUUACCAACAGAAUAAGCACCGGCUAACUUCGUG
This 484-nucleotide ribosomal RNA is filed under the name uncultured bacterium. Its description in RNAcentral is "partial 16S ribosomal RNA". It matches the Rfam family "Bacterial small subunit ribosomal RNA", at positions 30 to 507 of the family's 1533-position model. The record is from RNAcentral.